RNAcentral lists this long non-coding RNA (503 nucleotides) under Prunus persica (peach). RNAcentral's name for it is "long non-coding RNA (PPER_LNC000264)". The record is from RNAcentral. Lineage: Eukaryota; Viridiplantae; Streptophyta; Magnoliopsida; Rosales; Rosaceae.
CAUCGUCGAUUGGUUGUUGCACCUGAUGGGAGUUUGUUGAAGGAUCUCCCAUUUGCUCAAAAAAAACAUAUCUGUUUUUGGGAAAAGGAUGAGAACUACCAUAUCCCAUGCUUUCUAUACAUAGUAAAUAUCCUUGCCUAGUAGGCUACUUAAUUCUAGCAUCCAUACUCAAAUUGAGGUAGAUACCACCUGACUGAGGUGAAUGUUUUUGUCUCUCCCACCAAGGUUUGUUGAGAAUGUUCGCCUACGUUAAAAAGUUAAGGGACUCAAUCCAAGUUUAGUUCUCCAUUAUUAAUUAAUUUUGAACCUCAACUUCCUUCAAGACUAGUAAAUUUGGGUUUCCAUCCACAUGGUAAUUAUGAUUGAUUAAUUUGGCAUCACAUAACAAGUAAUAAUUAAUUCAUUAAUUAAUUUGCAGCACAAAUCUCAUUUGUAUGCACAUGACAUGGGCUUCAUUUUCAGCGUUUUCAGCAUCAUAUGUUGGGGGGAUUGCAUUAUUUUAG